UACAGAGGUGGCAAGCGUUGUUCGGAAUUACUGGGCGUAAAGGGCGCGUAGGCGGCCUUCUAAGUCAGACGUGAAAUCCCCCGGCUUAACCUGGGAACUGCGUCUGAUACUGGAGGGCUUGAGUAUGGGAGAGGGAUGUAGAAUUCCGGGUGUAGCGGUGGAAUGCGUAGAGAUCCGGAAGAACACCGGUGGCGAAGGCGGCCUGCUGGGCAGUUUUGCUGACACUGAGGCGCGACAGCGUGGGGAGCAAACAGG
This 255-nucleotide ribosomal RNA is filed under the name uncultured bacterium. RNAcentral describes it as "partial 16S ribosomal RNA". It matches the Rfam family "Bacterial small subunit ribosomal RNA", at positions 524 to 776 of the family's 1533-position model. The record is from RNAcentral.